GCGGAAAUAGUUCAGUGGUAGAACGUCAGCUUCCCAAGCUGGAUGUCGCGGGUUCGAGCCCCGUUUUCCGCUCCA
Molecule: transfer RNA, 75 nt
Filed under: Oscillospiraceae bacterium
Lineage: Bacteria; Bacillati; Bacillota; Clostridia; Eubacteriales; Oscillospiraceae
Description: tRNA-Gly
Rfam family: tRNA
About the family: Transfer RNA (tRNA) molecules are approximately 80 nucleotides in length. Their secondary structure includes four short double-helical elements and three loops (D, anti-codon, and T loops). Further hydrogen bonds mediate the characteristic L-shaped molecular structure. tRNAs have two regions of fundamental functional importance: the anti-codon, which is responsible for specific mRNA codon recognition, and the 3' end, to which the tRNAs corresponding amino acid is attached (by aminoacyl-tRNA synthetases). tRNAs cope with the degeneracy of the genetic code in two manners: having more than one tRNA (with a specific anti-codon) for a particular amino acid; and 'wobble' base-pairing, i.e. permitting non-standard base-pairing at the 3rd anti-codon position.
Source: RNAcentral